UGUACAGCGGCCUGUGACUACAGCGUGAGAGAGGCUCUCCCGGUCGCUUCUCUGGUAGCUAAAGAUCGUCUCUCCCUAUAGCUGAAGCAGACAAAACAUAACCCCAAACAAAACCAGAAACAUAUGUGAUGCUUUGCAAGGCAUCCUGCAGCAAAGAACAUAGAGGGGGAAAAAAAAAAUCAACAUUUUAUGUUUUGCUUAAUUCUGCAGUUUAUCACGUCUUUGAAAAUGUGGCCAAGAAAUAUGAUGUAAUGAAUGAUUCAAUGACUUUAGGGAUUCAUCGACUGUGGAAGGAUAUCCUCUUGCAUAAAAUGAACCCUUCUCCUGGAACACUUCUUCUUGAUGUUGCUGGAGGAACAGGUGACAUAGCCUUUCGAUUUAUUAAUUACGUUCGCUCUGCACGAGAACGCCAGCUCCAGCAGAAGCUUAAGCACCAUCAGAAUUUAUCGUGGCAGGAAAUUUCUGAGAGUUACCAGGAAGACAAAUUUAAGUCACUAGGGGAUUCCCAAGUGGUGGUCUGUGACAUUAACAAAGAAAUGUUAAAAGUUGGGAAGGAGAAAGCACAGCAUCUUGGCUACUCCGAAGGUUUGUCCUGGGUGCUUGGGGAUGCUGAAGAGUUGCCCUUUGAUGAUGAUAAGUUUGAUGUUUACACAAUUGCCUUUGGAAUCCGAAAUGUAACUCGUAUUGAUUUGGCACUGCAGGAGGCCUAUCGUGUGCUGAAACCAGGAGGAAGAUUCCUCUGCCUUGAAUUUAGUCACGUCAGCAACCCUCUUCUUUCCAGGCUCUAUGAUCUAUACAGUUUCCAGGUUAUCCCUGUUCUGGGUGAGGUUAUCGCUGGUGACUGGAAGUCUUACCAGUAUCUCGUGGAGAGCAUCCGACGUUUCCCCCCUCAGGAGGAGUUGAAGGCAAUGAUAGAAGAUGCAGGCUUUUUUAAAGUGGAUUAUCAGAAUUUAAACUCGGGCAUUGUUGCCAUUCACUCAGGUUUCAAACUGUGAGUCUACUAUGUAGCAAAACACAGGAAGUGUAAUUUUCCUGAGGAAUAUGAAAGCUGUGGAAUUUUAACACCAUCAAGCUUGAAGAGGAGUUUUAAGAACUUUGUGCAGUCAGACCCAGAAGAACGUCAGCUGCCUUUUCUCCCCCAAGAAACUUGCAGAUGGAGUGACUCCUGUGGUGUUUCUUACACUUGCAUUUCCCUUCAAGUACAGCAUAAAGGACAUGGCCAAAACUCAGCAAUGCUAACAGAUGAAGCAACUUCAGUUACCAGUGGUGUGGAUACAGAAAUAGACUGAGUAGCCUUUGAAUAAGAUGCCUCCUGUUUUUUUUACUAAGCUUCAGGGAGGGUAUCAUACCAGUGAGAAGUAACUUGGAUUUAUUACAUUUUUAUUAAGCUGUCAUUAUCUUUGUCAUGUGGACUUUAAGGGAUUUUUUCCCAUGAUUCCUUUACAUCUUUCAAAGGCAAAUGGAAGGCUUGUGAAAUAAAACAGCUCUGUGACAACUUUUUUCACUUAAGUUAAUAUUUUAACCUUUAGAAAGGAAACCUUAUAAGAAAGGAAUUUUUUUCUGAAGAGUGACCACAUACCUAUAUUCUGGGAUGAGAUGACAUGUUUUAACCUCCAUACAAAAUCAUUUUGUCAAAGCUAGAUGCAUAACCUCUACAUAAAAAUACUGUGCAUUUCCUUCUGUUCUUUAAACAAAACUGUUGAAGAACAGAUGCUUCUGUAGCAGGAUACAGGGCUAGAUUAAAAAAAAAAACCUAGAGAAGGUAAAUUACAUUCUGAAGUGACAGGUGUGUAAUGAACUAGUAUGAAAAUUUCUCUCUUCUGAAAAUUGGGAGAUGAAAAGACUAUUGCUUUUAACUCACCAAUUCACUUAAAAUCAGAAAAGCAGCACCACGUAUCUAAACUCCAGAAUUUGCACUGGAGGUUGUGCAUACUGAAAAUAUACUUACCAAGAACUGAAAAGCCAUCUCUCUUCUCUCUGGGAAACUAUCUCCUGUUGUUCUCAGUUACUGACUAAUGAGGUAUUCAUAGAUCAGCCCAGGCUUCAGAUGUGGAUUUCAGGGACGAAACAAAGCCACAAUGAAAAUAC
RNA transcript from Haliaeetus leucocephalus (bald eagle), 2088 nucleotides. It is a transcript of the gene named coenzyme Q5 homolog, methyltransferase (S. cerevisiae), with no coding region annotated. NCBI's taxonomy places the organism in Eukaryota, Metazoa, Chordata, Aves, Accipitriformes, Accipitridae. The record is from RefSeq and is a predicted model, not a curated record. The transcript has 8 exons.